GACGAACGCUGGCGGCGUGCUUAACACAUGCCAGUCGAACGGAAAGGCCCUGCUUUUGUGGGGUGCUCGAGUGGCGAACGGGUGAGUAACACGUGGGUAACCUGCCCUUGACUUUGGGAUAACUUCAGGAAACUGGGGCUAAUACCGGAUAGGAGCUCCUGCUGCAUGGUGGGGGUUGGAAAGUUUCGGCGGUUGGGGAUGGACUCGCGGCUUAUCAGCUUGUUGGUGGUGUAGUGGCUUACCAAGGCUUUGACGGGUAGCCGGCCUGAGAGGGUGACCGGCCACAUUGGGACUGAGAUACGGCCCAGACUCGUACGGGAGGCAGCAGUGGGGAAUAUUGCACAAUGGGCGGAAGCCUGAUGCAGCAACGCCGCGUGCGGGAUGACGGCCUUCGGGUUGUAAACCGCUUUCGCCUGUGACGAAGCGUGAGUGACGGUAAUGGGUAAAGAAGCACCGGCUAACUACGUG
This 468-nucleotide ribosomal RNA is filed under the name uncultured bacterium. RNAcentral describes it as "partial 16S ribosomal RNA". It matches the Rfam family "Bacterial small subunit ribosomal RNA", at positions 28 to 507 of the family's 1533-position model. The record is from RNAcentral.